RNAcentral lists this ribosomal RNA (527 nucleotides) under uncultured bacterium. RNAcentral describes it as "bacterial SSU rRNA". It matches the Rfam family "Bacterial small subunit ribosomal RNA", at positions 18 to 518 of the family's 1533-position model. The record is from RNAcentral.
UCUUGGUCAGGACGAACGCUGGCGGCGUGCCUAAUACAUGCAAGUCGAACGGUCUUUCUAUGGAAGCUUGCUUCCACUGAGAAGAUAGUGGCGAACGGGUGAGUAACACGUGGGUAACCUGCCCAUAAGAGGGGGAUAACAUCCGGAAACGGGUGCUAAUACCGCAUAGUUUUCUUGAUCGCAUGAUUGAGAAAGGAAAGACGGCCUUUGUGCUGUCGCUUAUGGAUGGACCCGCGGCGUAUUAGUUAGUUGGUGAGGUAACGGCUCACCAAGACGAUGAUACGUAGCCGACCUGAGAGGGUGAUCGGCCACAUUGGGACUGAGACACGGCCCAAACUCCUACGGGAGGCAGCAGUAGGGAAUCUUCCGCAAUGGACGAAAGUCUGACGGAGCAACGCCGCGUGAGUGAAGAAAGGUUUUCGGAUCGUAAAACUCUGUUGUCAGAGAAGAACAAGUUGGAGAGUAACUGCUCCAGCCUUGACGGUAUCUGACCAGAAAGCCACGGCUAACUACGUGCCAGCAGCCGC